GGUGAGAUGGCCGAGCGGUCUAAGGCGCUAGCUUAAGGUGGAUCAGUCCAUUAUCCGCUAGUCCGAAAGGGCGUGGGUUCGAAUCCCACUCUCAUCA
Molecule: transfer RNA, 97 nt
Filed under: Acidomyces richmondensis BFW
Lineage: Eukaryota; Fungi; Ascomycota; Dothideomycetes; Mycosphaerellales; Teratosphaeriaceae
Rfam family: tRNA
About the family: Transfer RNA (tRNA) molecules are approximately 80 nucleotides in length. Their secondary structure includes four short double-helical elements and three loops (D, anti-codon, and T loops).
Source: Rfam by way of RNAcentral